RNAcentral lists this ribosomal RNA (472 nucleotides) under uncultured bacterium. RNAcentral's name for it is "partial 16S ribosomal RNA". It matches the Rfam family "Bacterial small subunit ribosomal RNA", at positions 30 to 507 of the family's 1533-position model. The record is from RNAcentral.
AUUGAACGCUGGCGGCAGGCCUAACACAUGCAAGUCGAGCGGGGACUUCGGUCCUAGCGGCGAACGGGUGAGUAAUGCUUGGGAAUCUGCCCAGUAGUGGGGGAUAACGUCCCGAAAGGGACGCUAAUACCGCAUUCGUCCUACGGGAGAAAGAGGGGGAUCUUCGGACCUCUCGCUAUUGGAUGAGCCCAAGUCGGAUUAGCUAGUUGGUAGGGUAAUGGCCUACCAAGGCGACGAUCCGUAGCUGGUCUGAGAGGAUGAUCAGCCACACUGGAACUGAGACACGGUCCAGACUCCUACGGGAGGCAGCAGUGGGGAAUAUUGGACAAUGGGCGAAAGCCUGAUCCAGCCAUGCCGCGUGUGUGAAGAAGGCCUUCGGGUUGUAAAGCACUUUAAGCGGGGAGGAAGGUUCGCGGCCUAAUACGUCGCGGAAUUGACGUUACCCGCAGAAUAAGCACCGGCUAACUCUGUG